UACGGGGGGAGCAAGCGUUGUUCGGAUUCAUUGGGCGUAAAGGGCGCGUAGGCGGCAAGGCAAGUCGGGUGUGAAAGCUUGGGGCUUAACCCCGAAAGGGCACUCGAAACUGCCCUGCUAGAGGGCCGGAGAGGAGAUCGGAAUUCACGGUGUAGCAGUGAAAUGCGUAGAGCUCGUGAGGAAGACCGGUGGCGAAGGCGGAUCUCUGGACGGCCCCUGACGCUGAGGCGCGAAGGCUAGGGGAGCAAACGGG
This 253-nucleotide ribosomal RNA is filed under the name uncultured bacterium. RNAcentral describes it as "partial 16S ribosomal RNA". It matches the Rfam family "Bacterial small subunit ribosomal RNA", at positions 524 to 776 of the family's 1533-position model. The record is from RNAcentral.